Molecule: transfer-messenger RNA, 173 nt
Filed under: Nitrospina sp.
Lineage: Bacteria; Pseudomonadati; Nitrospinota; Nitrospinia; Nitrospinales; Nitrospinaceae
Description: partial transfer-messenger RNA
Rfam family: transfer-messenger RNA
About the family: Bacterial tmRNA, also known as 10Sa RNA or SsrA, is named for its dual tRNA and mRNA-like properties. Its role is to liberate the mRNA from a stalled ribosome. To accomplish this part of the tmRNA is used as a reading frame that ends in a translation stop signal.
Source: RNAcentral
GGGGGCGAUCUGGUUUCGACGGGAGAGCUGAUACAAGGGUUGCAUGCACGGGAUGCCGUUGGCCCGUUAAAAAACGGCUUUUACAUAAUCGCCAACGAUUAUGAUGUAGCUGUAGCCGCUUAAUUUAACCGGUUACCGUCCGCCGCAUCCAUGUUCACGGGAAGCGGGUCGGA